UUAUUAGUGGUUAUCUGUCUGAUGCAGUCGAGCGGCAGCGACAACAUUGACCCUUCGGGGGAUUUGUUGGGCGGCGAGCGGCGGACGGGUGAGUAAUGGCUGGGAACCUGCCCUGACGUGGGGGAUAACAGUUGGAAACGACUGCUAAUACCGCAUGAUGUCUACGGACCAAAGAGGAGGACCUUCGGGCUUCUCGCGUCGGGAUGGGCCCAGUUGGGAUUAGCUAGUUGGUGAGGUAAUGGCUCACCAAGGCGACGAUCCCUAGCUGGUUUGAGAGGAUGAUCAGCCACACUGGAACUGAGACACGGUCCAGACUCCUACGGGAGGCAGCAGUGGGGAAUAUUGCACAAUGGGCGCAAGCCUGAUGCAGCCAUGCCGCGUGUGUGAAGAAGGCCUUCGGGUUGUAAAGCACUUUCAGCAGUGAGGAAGGCGUAGUGGUUAAUACCCACUGCGUUUGACGUUAGCUGCAGAAGAAGCACCGGCUAACUCCGUGCCAGCAGCCGCGGUAAUACGGAGGGUGCGAGCGUUAAUCGGAAUUACUGGGCGUAAAGCGCAUGCAGGCGGUUUGUUAAGCAAGAUGUGAAAGCCCCGGGCUCAACCUGGGAACCGCAUUUUGAACUGGCAGGCUAGAGUCUUGUAGAGGGGGGUAGA
RNAcentral lists this ribosomal RNA (651 nucleotides) under Vibrio sp. MR06-54. RNAcentral describes it as "bacterial SSU rRNA". It matches the Rfam family "Bacterial small subunit ribosomal RNA", at positions 30 to 665 of the family's 1533-position model. Lineage: Bacteria; Pseudomonadati; Pseudomonadota; Gammaproteobacteria; Vibrionales; Vibrionaceae. The record is from RNAcentral.